GGUUGGCCCCGGGCCAGUGGGAGUCCCAGAGCCGCCCCUGCGUGCGCCUCGCGCGCCCAGACGACCCCGGGGGGUGGCGCGGGCGGACCCCGCUUCGCUGGAGCCAGCCCGGCGGGUCCCAGGUCCUAUAAGGUCACAGUCCCUGGUCUUGGACGGUGUCACAGCCUCCUUCCGUCUCCCUCCGUGGCACCCAGGAGUUCUGUUGUCCACCUCGAAGAUGCGGAGCCGUGCAACAUCUGCCAUUUCCUUACUGUGACCCUGUCAUCCAGUAAGGCCGAUGCAGCUCCCAGCAUAGAGACUAAUGGAUUUCUACCUUAACUAGCUCACCUUUAUCCUCCCUCUACAUUAGACUCCAUGUGAAAGACCAACUCCUUCUGUGGUGGAAAUUGACUUUGACUACAGUUCUGCACUGGCAGCCCUGUUGACGGCUUGAUUCAGCCAUCUUACAGCCUUGACACUUACCUGGGCAAAGGGCAGGCAAGAGGUCUACACUCUGUCUGAAGAUGCCUCACAACUGUGGCCAUUUGAGCCACCCUAUAACAUCCGGCCCGAAGAGCUUCAGACCACCUUUGCAGUUCAGUUUCUCCCCUUCGUGAACGCUGUGCUUCUCAGUCACAGAAGUAAGUACAUAGAUUUUAUGGUAUAAUUAUUUUUGUUUGGUGACCUGCAUCAGAUGUGGGAUGGAAGAAGACCCCUUAAGAACCCUGAGUCCAGUGAGUACAUCAGUGCUGUACCCAUGGAGGCCCCUGCACUCACUGCUUUCCUGCUCAUCAUGGAGUUGUAGGUAAUCUCUCCCAAAUCCAAGCUCCACUCUCUUCAUGUUGACCUUCCCAAUUUAUUGGGCAAUCUCAUUGAAGCUUUUUGGUAUGCCAUACUCUCGUCUGUAAGGCCAGGAUGCCCAUGCUUCCCUGGGUCUGGGCGCAGUGGUAAAGUCCUGGGCUCCCGGUGGGUUGGUUUUCUUCAGGAAUGUAAAGGCAGAGUUGGGUUCCACCUGGUCCAAAACCUGGAGCAGGAUCUUGUGCCUUUUUGGAAAACUGGUAAACAGUUUGCAGUAGCCACUUUAAGAAACCUUUAAUUUAGAUAUGAAAGGCUAUUUCAGGAGGGAUGCCCUUUAAAAAAGAUAAUUCCCAAACCUCUUUAAGAUAGUGGAAUGCAUUCUUUUAUUAGGAUGCAGAAGUUUCUAAAAAAACAAAAUGAAAAAAAAUUUUUUUUAAAAAGGGGGCACCUGGGUGGCUCAGGUUGU
Long non-coding RNA from Suricata suricatta (meerkat), 1243 nucleotides. RefSeq lists it as uncharacterized. Lineage: Eukaryota; Metazoa; Chordata; Mammalia; Carnivora; Herpestidae. The transcript is spliced from 5 exons. The record is from RefSeq and is a predicted model, not a curated record.